UCAGGAUGAACGCUGGCGGCGUGCUUAACACAUGCAAGUCGAACGGAGAUAAGAGAAGCUUGCUUUUCUUAUCUUAGUGGCGGACGGGUGAGUAACGCGUGGGUAACCUACCCUGUACAGGGGGAUAGCAGUUGGAAACGACUGAUAAAACCGCAUAAAACGGCAGUACCGCAUGGUACAACCGUCAAAUAUUCAUAGGUACAGGAUGGGCCCGCGUCUGAUUAGCUAGUUGGUGGGGCAACGGCCUACCAAGGCGACGAUCAGUAGCCGGCCUGAGAGGGUGAACGGCCACAUUGGGACUGAGACACGGCCCAAACUCCUACGGGAGGCAGCAGUGGGGAAUAUUGGACAAUGGGGGAAACCCUGAUCCAGCGAACCGCCGCGUGAGUGAAGAAGUAUUUCGGUAUGUAAAGCUCUAUCAGCAGGGAAGAUGAUGACGGUACCUGACUAAGAAGCACCGGCUAAAUACGUGCCAGCCGCGGC
This 483-nucleotide ribosomal RNA is filed under the name uncultured bacterium. RNAcentral describes it as "bacterial SSU rRNA". It matches the Rfam family "Bacterial small subunit ribosomal RNA", at positions 24 to 518 of the family's 1533-position model. The record is from RNAcentral.